CAACUCUACCUUCUACAUCAAGGUGUAUAUAUUUAGAAGGUGAAUUUUUGUCGAUUUGGCAGGUAGACAUUUUGGAUUUUGGCCGGUCGAGAAACUUCAAAGUUUGUUUACUUAAUCAUAUGGUUUGGGACUACCAAAAUAAACAAACAUAAAGCAUCGUUUUUCGGUUCAGUAAACCAAGUUUCUACAUUUAUCAUCGUCGUUGCACAUAGCACUGAAGAUAAACAGUUCCUUUACCAGCUCUAAAAAGAAAUUUGCGUGACGUUGUUUUCUUCAUACAGCUACCAAAGGCCUAUCGGACGUAUCGAAUUACGGCAUACCACUCGAUAAAAUUACACUGGUAGAUUAAGUGAAGCUGUUCGAUUCUCGUGCUAAGUACCAUAAAUUACAAGGAAUAGGAUAGAAUUGUGCCGCAUCCACCUCGAAACCCUUAUCUUUCGUACCCGUCAGGCGUAUAAUGCUUCACUGGAUAGCAUUAGCAAUUAUGCGUAGAUUGUUCGGAAAGUUUCACUAUGAUUUGAAAGCACCAGCACCACCAGUGCGUGGACCGUAAAGUAUCAGUAUCAUGAUGUGCUGCCUCCACUGGAUCCAGGUAAGGACUCCAUCGAUCAUCGGUGUAAGAACGUUUAUAUUGAAUGA
Molecule: long non-coding RNA, 639 nt
Organism: Anopheles stephensi (Asian malaria mosquito)
Lineage: Eukaryota; Metazoa; Arthropoda; Insecta; Diptera; Culicidae
Exons: 2
Source: RefSeq, a predicted model, not a curated record